GACGAACGCUGGCGGCGUGCUUAACACAUGCAAGUCGAACGGAAAGGCCCUGCUUUUGUGGGGUGCUCGAGUGGCGAACGGGUGAGUAACACGUGAGAAACCUGCCCUUGACUUUGGGAUAACUUCAGGAAACUGGGGCUAAUACCGGAUAGGAGCUCCUGCUGCAUGGUGGGGGUUGGAAAGUUUCGGCGGUUGGGGAUGGACUCGCGGCUUAUCAGCUUGUUGGUGGGGUAGUGGCUUACCAAGGCUUUGACGGGUAGCCGGCCUGAGAGGGUGACCGGCCACAUUGGGACUGAGAUACGGCCCAGACUCCUACGGGAGGCAGCAGUGGGGAAUAUUGCACAAUGGGCGGAAGCCUGAUGCAGCAACGCCGCGUGCGGGAUGACGGCCUACGGGUUGUAAACCGCUUUCGCCUGUGACGAAGCGUGAGUGACGGUAAUGGGUAAAGAAGCACCGGCUAACUACGUG
Molecule: ribosomal RNA, 468 nt
Filed under: uncultured bacterium
Lineage: Bacteria
Description: partial 16S ribosomal RNA
Rfam family: Bacterial small subunit ribosomal RNA
Source: RNAcentral